This 3051-nucleotide long non-coding RNA is filed under the name Homo sapiens (human). Its description in RNAcentral is "HSALNT0363963". The record is from RNAcentral. Lineage: Eukaryota; Metazoa; Chordata; Mammalia; Primates; Hominidae.
AAGUUUCACUUUGCUCGUCCGCCCGCGCUAAUUCUCUGGUGGGAGUGGGAUUCACGGGCCUGGUAACGCGGGGUCGAGGAGUACCCCAAACGAGCCAAACUGGGCGAAGACUAGGAGAUACUGAUUUUCUUUUCUCCCAACUUCCCCAACCAGAAUUGCCUCUCCCUCCCCUGCCCCUUCUGGAAAGAUUUAUCUUUUCAUCCAAUACCCACAAAUGGGCAUGAUGCGUAGUUUUGAUAAACGUAAUUAAUUGAAAUUCCAUAAAAGCUAGUUUUCGUUUUCUGAGUUUUCAGUCGUUCAUUCGCAUAGACACUCCCUCCAAAGCCUAAAAUUAAGGUCUGGCCAGCAACAAAAGAAUUUAGAGAAGCCCAGGACUGGAUCGUUUUAGUCUAUUGUUGAAAUUCAGAUUCGGAGGCAGCACCCUAAAAUGUUUCACCUCUGGGUCUUCACGUCGUUACACAUGGCUGAGUGAGGAGGUGUUCCCUAAAGGUUUGAGUAAUGAGGCCAGGCGCCGUCACUCACGCCUGUAAUCCCAUCACUUUGGGAGGCUGAAGUGAGCGGAUCACUUCAGGAGUUCAAGACCAGCUUGGCCAACAUGGUGAAAUCCCAUCUCUACGAAAAAUACAAAAAAUUAGCUGGGCGUGGUGGCGGGUGCCUGUAGUCCCAGCUACUGGGAAGGCUGAGGCAGCAUAAUCGGCUGCUCGGGAAGCUGAGGGGGGAGAAUCGCUUGAACCUGGGAGGUGGAGGUUGCAGUGAGCCGAGAUCGCACCAUUGCAUUCCAGCCUGGUCAACAAGAGCGAAACUUCGUCUCAAAAAGAAAAAAAAAAAGGUUUGAGUAAUGAAAGAAGGAAUUUAUAAUUCUGUUAAGCAAUUUUCCAGUCUCUGCUGUCAGGCCUCUCAGCCGAAGCUCAACCAUUGUAACCCCUGUGACUUGCACAUAUGCGUCCAGAUGGCCUGCGGGAGCCAAGAAGUCUGGGGCAGCCAAAAACCCACAAAAGAAGUAAAACAGCCACUUCCUGCCUUAACUGAUUAACAAACAUUCCACCAUUGUGACUGGUCCCUGCCCUACCUUAACUGAUCAACCAUCCUUGUGACAUUCUUCUUCUGGACAAUAAGUCUUAUGAUCUCCCCAUCAUGUACCUUGUGACCCCCUCCCCUGCUAACAAUAGAUAACAACCACCUUUUACUGUAAUUUUCCAUUACCUACCUAAAUCCUAUAAAGCAACCCCUUCCCCAUCUCCCUUCAUUGAUUCUCUUUUCGGACUCAGCCCACUUGCACCCAAGUGAAUAAACAGCCUUGUUGCUCACACAAAGCCUGUUGGUGGUCUCUUCACACGGAUGCAUUUGACAUUUGGUGCUAUGACUUGGAUCGGGGGACCUUCCUUGGGAGAUCAAUCCCCUGUCCUCCCGCUCUUUGCUCCGUGAGGAAGAUCUACCUACGACCUCGGGUCCUCAGACCAGCCCAAGGAACAUCUCACCAAUUUUAAAUCGGUGACCCACUGGAAAUCAGACCGCCCAGCUCACCCGGCAGCCACUUCCAGAGCCCAGCCCCUAAAGCUCUGGCCCAAGGGUCUCUGACUGACUCCUUACCAGACCUGCUCAGCUUAGUGGCUGAAGACUGACGCUGCCCAAUCACCUUGGAAGCCCCCUGGACCAUCAUGGAUGCCAAGCUUCGGGUAACUUUCACAGUGGAGGACAGGAAUGUCAGGCCUCUGCGCCGAAGCUCAGCCAUUGUAACCCCUGUGACUUGCACAUAUGUGUCCAGAUGGCCUGCAGGAGCCAAGAAGUCUGGGGCAGCUGAAAAACCACAAAAGAAGUAAAACAGCCAGUUCCUGCCUUAACAGAUUAACCAACAUUCCACCAUUCCACCAUUGUGACUGGUCCCUGCCCUACCUUAAUGGAUCGAUUGACCUUGUGACAUUCUUCUUCUGGACAAUGAGUCUUAUGAUCUCCCUACCAUGUACCUUGUGACCCCCCUCCUCUGCUAACAAUAGAUAACCACCUUUUAGUGUAAUUUUCCAUUACCUACCCAACUCCUAUAGGGCAACCCCUUCCCCAUCUCCCUUCGCUGACUCUCUUUUCAGACUCAGCCCACUUGCACCCAAGUGAAUAAACAGCCUUGUUGCUCACACAAAGCCUGUUGGUGGCGUCUUCACACAGACAUGCGUGACAUCUGCUCACCCACCUCUAAUACUGCAGAUUGAACAGUUCCCUUUGGAAAGCCCUUCCUGAUGUUGAGCUAAAAUGUCUUCCUGUCAUGUCCAUUCAUUAGUAGAAUAAACAUUUUAUCCAAAUGAGGCUGAUUAAACCAGAGGUUUAUGCAAAGGUGUAUGCAUCAAAGAUAGUGAUUUCCUGAGUGGAAGAAUUAAAUACCAGCUAAGAGUGAUUACAUAAAGCAUGGACCUUUUAUCUCUAUAGAAAAAACGCUACCUGACAAUAUUUCAAGUUAGAAUUUUGCUUUUCUUUUUCUCAAGUCAGGGUCUCAUUCUGUCACACAGACUGGAGUGCAGUGGUGCGAUCAUGCUGGCUAAUUUUUAAAUUUUUUGUAGACAGGGUCUGCUAUGUUGCCCAGGUUGGUCUAGAGCUCCUGGGCUCAAGGGAUCCUCCUACCUUGGCCUCCCAAAGUGCUGGGAUUACAGGCAUGAGGCACCUCGCCCAGCCCAAAUUAGGAUUUUUCUGGAGUGUAUAUUAGCACUUUCCUGAAAGGCAGCAAAUGUUUCAAAAGUUCACACCCUUUAACUCAAUAAUUACACAUCUAGGAAUCUUAUUCUCUGAAAAUAGUAUAGCAUGGAAAACGUUUUUUGCACAAAUUUUUGUUUUUUUAACCACAGUGUUUCUUUUAAAAUGUUAUUAAAAGAAUAAAAACAACCAAAAAUGUUCCUCAGAAGCAAUAUGUAAAUUCUGAAUACCAGAUAAACUACUAGGCAAGCAUCUAAAAUAAAGUUUACAGAUUUUCUUAAAACAUGAUGAAAUACUUGUGUAUUCAAUGGAUAUUCCAAGGCUCAGCUUCUAUAAAAAAAAUCUAACUCUGAGUAAGGGGAUCCAUAACAG